UCCCACGCAACGGCGGCCGCGACGUCGCUCCCAUGGCAACCCAGAAGGUCACUCCCAGACUCCUUGCGGAGCUGGCCGCCUGAUUCUAGGCUGGUCCCUACUCCGAGCGUGUGACGUUUGCUGCAGCCCGGCCGUCGACGAUGUCCAGUGAAACUCUCUGGGAAAUUGCAAAAGCUGAAGUGGAAAAAAGAGGAAUUAAUAGAAGUGAAGGUGAUGGAGCUGAAAUUGGAGAAAAAUCUGUUUUCUUCAUUGGCAGUAAAAAUGGGGGAAAGACUACUAUUAUUCUAAGGUGUCUUGACAGAGAUGAGCCACCAAAACCAACCUUAGCUUUGGAAUAUACAUAUGGAAGAAGAGCAAAAGGGCACAACACACCAAAAGAUAUCGCUCACUUUUGGGAACUCGGUGGAGGAACCUCUUUAUUGGACUUAAUCAGCAUACCCAUCACAAGUGACACCUUACGGACGUUUUCUGUUGUUCUCAUUCUGGAUCUUUCAAAACCUAAUGAUCUUUGGCCCACCAUGGAAAAUCUCUUGCAAGCCACAAAAAGCCAUGUAGACAAAGUGUUAAUGGAACUGGGAAAGACAAAUCCUAAAGCAGUUUCUGAAAUGAGACAGAAGAUCUGGAAUAAUAUGCAGAAGGAUCAUCCUGAUCGUGAAUUAAUUGACCCAUUUCCAGUACCUCUGGUCAUAAUUGGAAGUAAAUAUGAUAUUUUUCAGGAUUUUGAGUCUGAGAAGAGAAAGGUAAUAUGCAAGACACUUCGAUUUGUUGCACAUUAUUAUGGAGCAUCAUUAAUGUUUACCAGUAAAUCAGAAGCUCUAUUACUAAAAAUACGUGGAGUUAUCAACCAGUUGGCAUUUGGCAUUGACAGAAGCAAAUCAAAAUGUGUGGAUCAGAAUAAACCGCUGUUUAUCACAGCAGGAUUGGAUUCUUUCAGUCAAAUAGGAUGUCCUCCUGUUCCUGAAAAUGACAUUGGAAAGCUUCGUGCCCACUCACCAAUGGAGUUGUGGAAAAAAGUGUAUGAAAAGCUCUUUCCACCAAAGAGUAAUAACACGCUGAAAGAUAUCAAGGACCCUGCGAGAGAUCCUCAGUAUGCUGAAAGUGAAGUCGAUGAGAUGAGAAUUCAGAAGGAUCAGGCACAUCUAAGGAGAUAUCCUAUCAAGAAGCAGCACAAAACAUCAUGUGUUGGGGAUAACCAGGAUUAUUUCCAAGGUGGGAUAGCCUUUAAGAAGCCGUUCCAAUCUGUAGAUUUGUGUACCUGCUAGCCAAGUUCAUUUUGAAUGAGGUCUUGCUCUGUCACCCAGGCUAGAGUGCAAUGGCAUGAUCACGACUCCCUGCAGCCUUGACCUACUGGGCUCAAGCGAUCCUCUCACCUCAGCCUACCAAGUAGCUGGGACCACAGGUUCUUCCAAGGACAGAAGCAGAUCUGCCAUGCUACCUCCUUUAUUAUCAUCAGCACUUCCUUCCCACUGAAUUGCUUGUCAGGAUUUUACACGCUGUGGGCUGGAUUUGCUCAGAAAGGACUCUCAAUUGCUCCCAGGGAGCUGUGCCCCUUGAAGGAGGCAUGUCCACCUGUCAUUGGUUCCCUGGGUGCUCGUGGGCCUUCCCAGUCUAGAGAGAAAUGAAGCAGUUUCCAGGUAAGGUCCCCGGUGAGUUUACCUGUGGCUACGUCCAAACUGGAGACAAUUAAGAAAGAGAUUGGAACCUAGAAGGAGUUGACAAUUCAAUCGUUUCUUCCUUCAUUAACUCAGUCCAGUUUGGAUGAGGCACAUUCAAGAUGCCUCCAAGCAAGCUGAGAAAAAUCAGUGGCAAAAAUAACUAUAUCUGUUCAAACAGGGAACUUGUAGAACAGCAUGGUGCCAGAGAAGGGUAAUGCAAGCCACAGACAGAAGUGAAAUAUUUCAGUAGCCAAAUUUUGAAAAGUAAAAAGAAACAGGUGAAAUUAAUUUUAAUAACAUAUUAUUUAUAGCCAAAAAUACCAUUUCAACCUGUAAUCAAUACUUUUUGGAAUUUAUUUAUUUAUUUAUUUGGUUGGGAGAGACAGGGUCUCCUUUUGUCCUUCAGGCUGCAGCGCAAUGGUGCAAUCAUGGCUCACUGCAGCCUCAACCUCCUGGGUUCAAGAGAUCCUCCUGCCUCAGCCUCCUUAGCAGCUGGGAGUGGAGGCACACGCCACCACACCCAACUAAUUUUUGUAUUUUUUGUAGAGACUGAGUCUCGCUAUGUUGUCCAGGCUGGUCUCAAACUUCUAGACUCAAGCAGUCCUCUCGUCUUGGCCUUCCAAAGUGCUGGGAUUACAGGUGUGAGCCACCCUGCCCGACCUAAAAAUUCUUAAUGGGCUUUUUCACGUUCUGUUUUUCUCAGACUCAGAGUCUGAAAUCUGAUGUGCAUUUUGCGCUCACUGCACGUUUCAGUCUGGACUAGUGACAUUUCAAGUGCUCCAAAGGCACAUGUGACUAGGGGCUGCCCUCUCGGGCAGCACAGGGUGCACGGUGCAGGGCGCAGGGCGCGCUCUAGAGUGGAGUGACGAGCAAAAGGGAGGAAUGGUCAAGCGUAGGCGAAGAGAGGAGUGCAGCGCGGGGUGCAAAGGGACUCAGUUUGCCCGCUGUGAGCGGGGGGCUGCACCCACCUUCUUCUGGAAGAAGCCGGGGUUGCCGCGGCGGAUGGCCAGCAGCGCGGUGUAGCGCAGCGUCUCGCGCACGGUGAGGCUGCUCAGCAGGGUGUCGCUCUGCAGGAGACUCGGGCGUCAGUGUAGCCCGAACCCCCGGGGCGGGCGGGAGGCCAGGGAUGUGGGGGAAGCGCCCACCUGCAGGACGUAGGAGAAGCAGUCCUGGAACUGCUCCCGGCGCAGCGCCCGGCCGUUCACAUACACCUCCCCCAGGAAGGUCCCCGUGCGCCGCAGCCUCCCGGAUAUGGCGUCCAGCAGCGUGGUUUUCCCGGAGCCUGCGGGGCGACAAAAGAAGGCCCUGGAGGAACCCCUCUGUGCCAGCCUUGGAGGAGCUUCCCGAGACCCUCAGUGCGGGCAUGACCCCGCGGGCCAGGAGUGCUACGUGACGGACCCUGUUCUAGUUAUUAAGGAUACAGCAGGAUACAGGCCCUCCCCUGUAGAACGCGCACUGUGCAUGCAGCAGUCUCACGCGCAAAUGAGUCUCUGGAUUGUUCCCUGAGUGAGAGGGGACAUACCAUUUCUGUCAUCUGGGUCAAGACCGAACGUGCUUUCUCUGCUUGUUUAUUUGCCUUUAAAACUGUUUUGGAUUGAAAAACAAAAUACUUAUAGGUAUCAGAAUAAGAGGAAAGCCAAGACUCUUGGAAACGUUUGGAUCCUAGGACGGAUUUCUUUCUGUGCCCCCCUGGAUGGUCUGGUUGUACCUGGAUGUAGGUGACAUUGUCUAGAGCCUUGCUCACAAAGCAAGCAGCAUCAGCGACCCCUGAGAGCUUGCCAGAAACGCAGAGCCCCAGGCCGCACCUGAGACCUGCUGAGUCAGAUCUGCAUCAGUCAAGUUUGAGAAGCACUGGCUUGUUAAGUCCUUUGGUAAGACCAAGUUGGCCACAGCCUGCACUACAGCCUGGGGCAUAGCCUAGCUGGAUGUCACUAGGAAGGUUCCCACAGAGGGGUUGUGGUGAACUAACUGCCUGCUGGAUGUGACUGGGGGAUGAUGCUUCCCUUGGUUUGCUUUUUUCUUGAGUGAGACUGAAUCUCCCUCUGUCACCCAGGCUGGAGUGUAGUGGCACAGUCUCAGCUCACUGCAACCUCUGCCUCUCAGGUUCAAGCCGUUCUCUUGCCUCAGCCUCCUGAGUAGCUGGGAUUACAGGCAUGCACCACCACACCUGGCUAAUUUUUGUAUUUUUAUAGAGAUGAGGUUUCACCAUGUUGGCCAGGCUGGUCUUGACCUCCUGACCUCAGGUUAUCCUCCUGCCUCAGCCUCCCAAAGUGCUGGGAUUACAGGCGUGAGCCACUGCUUUUUUCUAAGGUUAAAGUUUAGGUGAUGCCUUUAGGACAGGAGCCUGAGGGCCCCUCAGUCAUAUUGGACACAAGUUUACCAUAGGCCCAGAGUUCAUGGAGACAGAAUAGACCUCCUAGGCCUUUCCUAUCCAAAGAGGCUGAGAGGUUGGGAUUCGUAACAGAGAAAUAGGCAGGAAGUUCUGAACUAUCUGGGAAGAUAGCAAGAGAAAUCUACUGAUGAGAUGGCUUGUGCAGAGCCAAAGAGAUCUUUUGUUGAAAUAUUAUUAUUAUUAUUAUUUUGAGACAGAGUAUCCCUCUGUUGCCCAGGCUGGAGUGCAGUGGUGCAAUCUUGGCUCACUGCAACCUCCGCCUCCCAGGUUCAUGACAUUAUCCUGCCUCAGCCUCCCGAGUAGCUGGGACUGCAGGCAUCCGCUACCACGCCCGGCUAAUUUUUUUUUGUAUUUUUAGUAGAGAUGGGGUUUCACUGCAUUAGCCAGGAUGGUCUCAAUCACCUGACCUCAUGAUCUGCCCACCUCGGCCUCCCAAAGUGCUGAUAUUACAGGCGUGAGCCACCGAGCCUGGCCCUUUAUUUAUUUAUUUAUUUAUUUAUUUUAUUCAUUUAUUUAUUUAUUGAGAUGGAGUCUCACUCUAUUGCCCAAGUGGGAGCGCAGUGGCAAGAUCUCAGCUCACUGCAACUGCGGUCUCCCAGGUUCAAACAAUUAUCUUGCCUCAGCCUCCCGAAUAGCUGGGAUUACAGGCGUGUGCCACCACACCUGGCUAAUUUUUGUAUUUGUGUAGAGACGGGGUUUCACUACAUUGGCCAGGCUGGUCUUGAACUCCUGACCGCAGGUGAUCCGCCCGCCUCGGCCUCCCAAGGUGCCGGGAUUACAGGUAUGAGCAACCGCACCUGACCCUUGUUGAAAUAUUUUAAAGAAACUUGCUUGUUGCUGUGAGAGGCACAAAGAUGAAUCAACUCCCUUAGCAGUUGUCUUCUUUUCUAAUGCAUCAUUGACAAAACUCAGAAUUAGCCCCUGCGUGUUCAGGGGGUGGUCAGAGUGGGGAAAGAGAGGAAAACUCAUUAUAAAGAAACAAAAUGUGACUUCAUUGGGAUUGUCUUUCAAAAUGUGCACUGUAAUUUCCCAGUCGUGUGGUUCUUCUCACCAGAGCCAUCCUGGCUUUACAUUUUUUGGAUCCAAUCUGAACUCUGGCAGAAGCUGCAAAUAUCCUGCAGCCUGGGUCGCAGCCCCACCACUUCAUCAAAACUGGCCUCCCCAGGGAUAUUAAAGCCACUUUAUUGUUGCCAAA
This is an RNA transcript of Symphalangus syndactylus (siamang), 5242 nucleotides long. It is a transcript of the gene named dynein cytoplasmic 2 light intermediate chain 1, with no coding region annotated. The record is from RefSeq and is a predicted model, not a curated record. Lineage: Eukaryota; Metazoa; Chordata; Mammalia; Primates; Hylobatidae.